GCCGCAACGACUUUUCUCUCUCAAUAAUUUUCUUUUGUUGAUUCUCUCGUCUCUCUCCUUUACAAAUUUUUUCCUUCUCUGUCUAUAAAACCGAACGGGACCGUCCUGUCCUAAUUUCUUUCCUCUAUCAUAUGCAUCGACCCCUUUUAUCUUUCUCCUUUCUUUCUUUCUGUUAAUAAUAACAAGAAAUAAACAGAGCUUCACUUCACAAGUCCUAUUUUGGAGGAGCUGUACAGCUGAACACCUGAGGUAUAUCACCUCUUUCUAUGCCUUCUCUGCUCUGCUCUUUUUCCUUUUUUCUCCUUCGCGUUGAUUCUCCGCCGGCUGUUGGCUGAGUUUUAAUUGUGUUCUUUAAAAAAAAAAACUUCUUGAAAGCGUUUGGUUUCAGAUCUAUGACGGUAGCUAAAUUUGGAAACUUUUUAACAGAUUUUGGUUUUCUGGUUCGUGAAUUAAGCGAAAUCUCAAGUCUUUCUUUGUUCCUCUUCAAAAUUCAAUUGAACGUGCUUGCUUUGAAAAUUAAUUUUGAGAUAAAGUGUCAAAUAUGUCAAGUUGGCAAAUCGUUGUCUUCGAGCUAGCUAUUUCUUUUUUCUGGUUUGGGUUAAUUUAUUGAGUCUUGUUUGACUAGAUCUCGAUGUUUAACAGUUCAUACACGCUUUAGAUCUGUUAUAAAUUAUAUAAUAAACUCCUUAGCUAAAUUUUUCUGCUGCUUCUGCCCAGGACUUCUCUUCAUAGAGAUCUUUAGGGGG
This 746-nucleotide unclassified non-coding RNA is filed under the name Hevea brasiliensis (rubber tree). The record is from RNAcentral. Lineage: Eukaryota; Viridiplantae; Streptophyta; Magnoliopsida; Malpighiales; Euphorbiaceae.